Molecule: ribosomal RNA, 463 nt
Filed under: uncultured bacterium
Lineage: Bacteria
Description: partial 16S ribosomal RNA
Rfam family: Bacterial small subunit ribosomal RNA
Source: RNAcentral
GACGAACGCUGGCGGCGUGCUUAAUACAUGCAAGUCGAACGGAAGGGCGUUUUCCUCGGUUCUCCAGUGGCGAAGGGGUGCGGAAAACGAGGGUGCUCACCCCCGCACUCUAGGAAAAGGAUGCGCAACUGGGCCCAAUACCAGAGAGGACCGCACUUUAGAGUGCGCUGUGGAAAACGUUCACGGUGGUGUUCGAGUCUGCGGCCCAUCAGCUCGUUGGUGGGGUAAUGGUCUACCAAGGCGCCGACGGGUAGCCGCACUGUGAGGUUGGUAGGCCACAUUGGGACCGAGAUACGGCCCAGACUCCUACGGGAGGCAGCUGUGGGGAAGCUUGCCCGAUGGGCGCAAGGCUGAUGCAGAGACGCCGCGUGGGGGAUGACGGCCUUAGGGUUGUAAACUCCUUUCGCCAGGGACGAAGCGUUUUGUGACGGUACCUGGAGAAGAAGCCCCGGCUAACUACGUG